CCCUUAGACGUUCUGGGCCGCACGCGCGCUACACUGACCAGUGCAACAAGCAUCCGUCCUUGGCCGACAGGCCCGGGCAAUCUUUGAACGCUGGUCGUGAUGGGGAUAGACUUUUGCAAUUUUUGGUCUUCAACGAGGAAUUCCUAGUAAACGCAAGUCAUCAACUUGCAUUGAUUACGUCCCUGCCCUUUGUACACACCGCCCGUCGCUACUACCGAUUGAACGUUUUAGUGAGGUAUUUGGACUGGACCUUCGGAGGUUCGCGCCUCCGUUGCUGUUCGGGAAGACUCCCAAACUUGAGCGUUUAGAGGAAGUAAAAGUCGUAACA
Molecule: ribosomal RNA, 328 nt
Filed under: uncultured eukaryote
Lineage: Eukaryota
Description: partial 18S ribosomal RNA
Rfam family: Eukaryotic small subunit ribosomal RNA
Source: RNAcentral